Molecule: long non-coding RNA, 617 nt
Filed under: Capsicum annuum
Lineage: Eukaryota; Viridiplantae; Streptophyta; Magnoliopsida; Solanales; Solanaceae
Description: long non-coding RNA (CANN_LNC014632)
Source: RNAcentral
UUGUUUCUGUAUCAAUUUUGAAUUUUGAGUCAUAAAUGAGAGUCCUCAUCGCGUGACUUCAAAUAAUAGGAUCUCUUAGACAUGAUGAUGGUAAAAUCUUCAAGACUGGAACACCUGAUAAGAAUAUGUCUAUUACGAAAAUAUCCAAUUGUGCAAUCCCUUUUCAGUCCACAUUGGAUUGAAAUGAUUCUCCGUAAUUCUUCCAGAAGGAACCCCAUAGGAAAAUUUUCCUAUAACAGCUCCUUUAAAUUCUCAAUUUGAUCCUUUCUGUUUACUUCCGCCUCUGUCCAUUUGACAAUAUUUUCACCAUUAAUCAUAGCAGCCUCCUUAAAGGGAAUGGGAAGUAUUAUGUUCUUUGAGUCACCAUUACCAUUUUGAAGUAAUUGUGAUAAAGUGCAAGGAUUGUUCUCAUAAUUAAUGCUAGUUUUAGGGUUAGGGAUCUAGAAAAUGUUUGGUUUAAGAGCUGGAUGGUUAAGGACAGGAAAGUGAGAGGUCCAAGAAAGGGUAAAAGACUGGUCAGUCGCCGGAGGAGACUGAUCAGUGGCCGGAAAAGCCAUGCUUUAGAUGAAGGGUAGGGUUUUCAUGAACCGGCAAUUUUUCGAGUAUGUAUCGAAAAU